Molecule: long non-coding RNA, 2200 nt
Organism: Dermacentor andersoni
Lineage: Eukaryota; Metazoa; Arthropoda; Arachnida; Ixodida; Ixodidae
Source: RefSeq, a predicted model, not a curated record
CCAAACUGGCGGGAGCACGAUCGAGGCGCAGCAGAAUACAUGUAGCGCUGAGUCAUAUCGAGUUAAGGCACACUCUAAACUGACUUUUAUCCCGAGCGGUUUUUCGUUUAUUACGCCGCCGUUACCCUGAGUUAAAUUGUGCCGCCGCGCUCCAGCUGUUGCAUUUCGUGUAGGGCUACUGACAGAAUGCGGUUUCCUGAUGGCACGAUGGCCUCGACUGGAAUAAACGCACACGACACCAAAGAUUGAGUAAGCCUGAAAAUAUUUUAUUUGCAUUUUACAAGUACAACAAAAAGCACACGUCUACGCAUCCACACAAACGCGGUUACAUAGUCAAGAAAUGGCUCAUUAAUAAGGGUAGCACAAACGCACAAGAAAGAAGACCUAAGCUACAAAACGUACGGUCGGCUGCUAAGUAUAAUAAUUUCCCUGUCACCGCGUGUCACUUUUAUACAGCAUCCUUACAGCACUACCAGGCCGGGUAGUUUGGCGGAAAGAACGCAACCGCUUAUACGGCCGUCAGCUGCCUCUUCCUUACGGGUGUCAUAAUUAUCCUAAUCUCCGCAUCAACGUCGUGCAAGUUCGCAUACAGGUAUCUGUAUCUGAACCAUAUGUGCCAGCUUAAUACACGUGUAGUGAAAUUAUGAUAACCACUGCGUCUCAUCAAACGUAUUGGUUUUGCAAAUGCGCAUUACAGCUGACGGAACGACAUACUGUAAGUGAAGCACAAGAGAGCAAGGACAAAAGGAGGAUACAACACUUGAAGAAAUGAAGAAUUAGUAGGCAUACAGCAAACAAGCGAUGACGGAGAACACACAAUGAUGCAUCGGGUGUUCUGUGACAUCGGUUUGCGUACUUGCGGUGUUAUGGAGAUCAACGGCAUAAAAACGUACCUUCAAGCGUACUCCCUCAACCUCCGCCGCAUUCAUUAUGAUAAUCAACGCCUAAACAAAAUGAGGCACUAUUCUUUGCCAAGAGUAGACCUUUUUACAGCAAGUCUAUGUAAUGACUCGCAGACGAAACCAGCAUGCUUUCGAAAAUGUUUUACCGCCGUAGUAUUCGAACGCCAACGGCCAGGAAACACAUCGAUACCAAUAGGCUGUCGGCUGUCGGUGGUUAAUCGAGCACAAAAACCUUGACGCUAUGACUAAAAAGCAGCUUCAACAAUCAAAUUUUUAAAAAAUCAACUGCCUAUUUGCCUGAGGUAAAAAAGCAUCCUUAGACACCUCGAUUGUUCAUGUCAAUGGUUUGUGUAAAUUAAAAAAUUCAGCAUGUUCAGCGCCCCUAGCAGAGAAAGCACAAAUUAAAGUAGUCGACCAAAUUACAGUAGCUCCACUUGCGCGCUUACGCUGAAACGCGCCUCGAUUGAUUUUUCGCCCUCUGUGGCCAUUUGUUGAACUUGAGAGUGUGCGGGGCCUGGCGGGCCGCCGGGUGCACAUGUGUGUGUUCUCCGUGACAGUCUUGAAGUUGCGAGUAAUUAGAUUGUUUUUCGCUGCGUUUAGGUUGCACCACCUCGUUGUUAUCGUGUACUUUUGUGCUCAUCGACGCGAAGGGAGCAUCCGGACUGAAGGCGACGUGAUUAUGCAUGAGAAAGAAAGGCAGUAGCGGCCUGCGACAUCGGUGUUUCUUUGUGACAGUGUGUUUACUAUGCCUACGACGGCGGUCAUUCGUGGCCAACGAGAAAACAUCUUCCAUUCGGCCUGACCAGUGAUGAAGUGGACUUUUUUUUUCGGCGGAAUCCAUCGUCAACAUCGUCCAUCCACUACGUAAACGAAAUGGCGUGCCCAGAGUAUACAUCGUGACAGCGCUCCGCCUUCAAACCGAGGGCCUUUUGCAAGGCGCAUGGACGGCUCAUAUAAAAGUUAGUCAGCAUGAAGCAAUUGCAUGGGAACCGGCCGAUUGUCUUGGGCCUACACAUUGCUCAAAAGACAGUGAAGGUGUCUGAGCCGACAGGUAGAAAACAAGCAGAUGGCUACAGCGAUCAAUGAAGAAAUGGCUUCAUCUAUGAUGGCUCGCCUUAGGACAUUGGAAUGGAGCUACACAAAGGCAUCACCAGCCUCGCCUGUGCAUUGGAACAUUGGUUUGAAUAAGACUGUUCUUCAGUGUAGAACGACCACAAGACUUGUCACCACAUACAAGGCGUAGUGCAAGCUCUAAAUAUUGUACAGGUGGCUAGAAUAAAUGACCCUCCAUGCAGUCA